ACGAGUUUUAAUUGUUAGGUUAGAGUUGAGCUGGUUAAUCUAAUUAAUAUGUGCUUACUCUAAUCGAAACAAGUCCACUCAUUACUUAACACUUGUGAACUUAUUCAUUACAAACAUUAUUAUUUGUUAUUGGAAGCGUUUGAUUAUUAAAAAGUUAAUA
This 160-nucleotide unclassified non-coding RNA is filed under the name soil metagenome. Its description in RNAcentral is "partial internal transcribed spacer 1". The record is from RNAcentral.